GUUUCCCUACAAAUGUGUGUUGUUAUUACACCGUGCCUGGCCUGUAAGUGCGCAAUAGCUUUCCAGUCAUCGACACAUUGUAUGGAGGAACGAGCAUAAAAGUAGACUACAAAUGCUACAAUACAAUUACAACAAGUAGACUAUUGUGAUAGUAGACCGCAGCAGUUUAUAUGGGGCUGAGUCACUGGCUUACUGGUGUUCUUCCAUGCCGUCCAUGGGAGGGGUGCGUCACUUGAGUGGGUUGAGUCACUGACGUGGUCUUCCUGUCUGAGUUGGCGCCCCCCUUGGGUUGUGCCAUGGCGGAGAUCGUUGUGGGCUAUACUCGGCCUUGUCUUAGGACGGACCUGAGCCCUAGGACCAUGCCUCAGGACUACCUGGUAUGAUGACUCCUUGCUGUCCCCAGUCCACCUGGCCGUGCUGCUGCUCCAGUUUCAACUGUUCUGCCUGCGGCUAUGGAACCCUGACCUGUUCACCGGACGUGCUUGUUGCACCCUCGACAACUACUAUGAUUAUUAUUAUUUGACCAUGCUGGUCAUUUAUGAACAUUUUAACAUUUUAACAUCUUGACCAUGUUCUGUUAUAAUAUCCACCCUGCACAGCCAGAAGAGGACUGGCCACCCCUCAUAGCCUGGUUCCUCUCUAGGUUUCUUCCUAGGUUUUUGGCCUUUCUAGGGAGUUUUUCCUAGGGAGUU
RNAcentral lists this long non-coding RNA (692 nucleotides) under Salmo salar (Atlantic salmon). RNAcentral's name for it is "lncRNA (ENSSSAG00000121816.1)". The record is from RNAcentral. Lineage: Eukaryota; Metazoa; Chordata; Actinopteri; Salmoniformes; Salmonidae.